This 2492-nucleotide unclassified non-coding RNA is filed under the name Gigantopelta aegis. Its description in RNAcentral is "uncharacterized LOC121367447, transcript variant X1". The record is from RNAcentral. Lineage: Eukaryota; Metazoa; Mollusca; Gastropoda; Neomphalida; Peltospiridae.
GAGCCCCCCCCAGCUCCUACGGGCCUGCAAAGUAGCUGAACUAUAGGCCGACGGUUUAUUUACUGCCCGCUCCAUAUCUCCAGGGUAGGCUAGAGCUCUGUGGAAAGACCCGACUUGGGCAGGAUAUAGUAGUCGGCUGGCUACGUGCUGUAGCAUGGGACAGCUGGACGUCUUGGUCAUAUACACGCUGUAUCAUCUAACAAAACCUAUGGAAGACAAGCGUAAAACCAUCCCAGGGUUCUUUUCUCCACGUUCAACAUCUGAGACAGUGACCACUAUUGCACAAUACAGCUUACCUAGUUCCAAGCCUGCUGAACCUUCAACCUCCAUUGGUGAUGCGUCUCUAAUGGCCCCUAGACCUCUUUCUUGUGGUAACAAAACAUUGAAAGCUGAGAUUCUGUGGGCGCUAAAGUGUGUGGACUCUCAUUUUUCAUUCCAUUCAUGUGAACACAUUUCGGAUAUUUUUAAACAGAUGUUCCCGGGUGACCCUGUUGCACAAGCCUUCAGCUGUGGGGAGACCAAAUGUCGUUAUAUCUGUCAGUUUGGCAUAGCUCCAUACUUUCAUGGGUUGUUGAAAGAAUCCGCUAGGGCUGAUGGUGAUUGUCCUUUUGUUUGAUGAAUCUCUCAACAAAGUAACAAAAAAUAAGCAGAUGGAUAUCCUCCUCCUACUAUGGCAUCAUGACCAGGUGCGAUCCAGAUACUUCACAUCAAAAUUCAUUGGCCAUGCCUCUGCACAGGACAUGCUUGAUCAUUUCAAUUCGGCAAUAGAGGAUCUCAAUCAUACUGGCAUCCUCCAAGUAUCCAUGGAUGGGCCAAGUGUCAAUUGGUCAUUUUUUGACAAAUUCAAUAAUCAGAUAAAAGAAUACCAGGACUCGGAAUUGAUAAACCUUGGGAGUUGUGGACUUCAUGUUUUGCACGGUGCCUUUCAGGCAGGAUGUCGUGAAACAGGUUGGAAAGUGGAUGAUCUUUUAUCCAGUAUGUACCAUCUGUUCAAAGACUGCCCUGCUCGAAGGGAGGACUAUGCAAAGGUCAGAGAGCUCAGAUUUCCCUCUGAAAUUUUGCAAGCACAGGUGGCUUGAAAAUGGCCCUGUUUCCAGGCGUGCCAUCAGUAUUUGGGAGAGUAUGAAAACCUAUGUCACAGCCGUUGAUAAAAAGAAGGUUUCACGUCCUGCUAACAAAUCUUAUUCAGUUGUUAGUGGUGCCACGAAGGACCCAUUGAUAAUUGCCAAACUUUCAUUUUUUAACUCUGUCAGUAGAGAAGUUGAGCCUUUUCUUAAGCAAUAUCAAACGGACAAAGUCAUGAUCCCUUUUCUUGUUAGCGAUUUGGAGAAGCUGAUGAGAAAUUUGAUGGAAAGGUUUAUCGAAGGUGGAGUGCUUGAAGCUGCUCAGUCUGUUAAUGAACUACUUAAAAUUGAUUUGUCGAAAAACACCCUGAACAACAAAGACAUUCAGAUUGGGUAUAAAGCAGCAAGUGAGCUAAAGAAACUUAAAUCAUCUAAAGCCAUCAGUGGGCUUCAGGCAUUUGAAUUUAGAGACCAGUGUAAGAAGCUUUUGGUUAAGUUGGUCGAAAAAGUCAAUGAGAGGUCCCCGUUGAAAUAUUCCAUUGCUCGCAACUUGUCACGCUUAGACCCCAGACUCAUAGUCAAACAGGGUGAAAGUUCCAAAUUGAAAAUGAGAAGAUUAUUGGAGUUACUGGUGAAAUUGAAUCGUGUUCAUGAAGACGAUGUUGAUGAUUUGAACUGCCUGUACAGUGAAUUGUUUAGGGAUGUUGUCAGUGGUGAUGAUUUGGCUAUGUUCCGAGAUUAUGAUGUUGAAGAGGGUAGGGUGGACACCUUGUUGUAUGAAACCAUGGGCACAAACAAAAGAUAUGGCAGAUUGUGGAAAGAGAUCAGAAAAAUGUUGCUUCUUUCCCAUGGGCAAGCCUCAAUGGAGAGGGGCUUCUCCGUUAACAGGCAAAUUGAAAUGGAAAACAUGUCUGGGGGCAUGAAUGUUGCAUUGCGGACAAUUUCUGACUAUUUGUCAUAUGUUGGUGGUAUUUUUAAUGUUAACAUGACCAAACAGCUCCUCUGUUCAGUGUUGGGUGCACGACACAGGUACCAUCAAUAUUUAGAGGAAGAAAAACGUAAGAAGUGUCAGGAAGUGAUGAAUCUGAAACGAAAAGCUGCAACAGAUGAAAUUGACCUGCUCAGAAAAAAAAGCAAGACUCUUGACUCUGACAUCUGUGCACUGGAGAAAUCUGCUGUUAGUUUUGCAGAUCAAGCAGAGAAAACUCAGGGUGCAAAGUCCAAUGCCAUGAGGCGUUCUGCAGAUGAAAAAAAGGCAGACUUGAAAUUACUUCUUUCAGAUAUUGACUACAAGACCAAACAACUUGGUUAAUCCCAUCAUGAUUGUUCUUUCUUCAACCACUUCCUGACCAUUUGUCAGAAAAACACAUUACCUGCCUGCCGAUAGUUCCAGUGCUACCUGUCCAAAUUGAGAGUCACUCAAUUUCC